GAUCCUGGCUCAGAUUGAACGCUGGCGGCAUGCUUUACACAUGCAAGUCGAACGGUAACAGGUUAAGCUGACGAGUGGCGAACGGGUGAGUAAUGCAUCGGAACGUGCCCAGUCGUGGGGGAUAACGCAGCGAAAGCUGUGCUAAUACCGCAUACGAUCUAUGGAUGAAAGCGGGGGACCGUAAGGCCUCGCGCGAUUGGAGCGGCCGAUGUCAGAUUAGCUAGUUGGUGGGGUAAAGGCUCACCAAGCCAACGAUCUGUAGCUGGUCUGAGAGGACGAUCAGCCACACUGGGACUGAGACACGGCCCAGACUCCUACGGGAGGCAGCAGUGGGGAAUUUUGGACAAUGGGGGAAACCCUGAUCCAGCAAUGCCGCGUGAGUGAAGAAGGCCUUCGGGUUGUAAAGCUCUUUUGUCAGGGAAGAAACACCGGCUCUAACACAGUCCGGGAAUGACGGUACCUGAAGAAUAAGCACCGGCUAACUACGUG
This 489-nucleotide ribosomal RNA is filed under the name uncultured bacterium. RNAcentral describes it as "bacterial SSU rRNA". It matches the Rfam family "Bacterial small subunit ribosomal RNA", at positions 15 to 507 of the family's 1533-position model. The record is from RNAcentral.